Molecule: long non-coding RNA, 2304 nt
Organism: Glycine soja
Lineage: Eukaryota; Viridiplantae; Streptophyta; Magnoliopsida; Fabales; Fabaceae
Exons: 6
Source: RefSeq, a predicted model, not a curated record
ACAUAAACUCUCGAGUUUGAUAAGGUACAACAGAAUGCUAACAUAGUUCUAUUCUAUGCUCCAACUUUGGUUGACACUAAUACUUACAUGCAUUUUUUUUUUGUUUUUGUUUCUGGCACUGCAGAUGGCCCACUUCAUUCAUCAUAUAUUUACAUUCAUAUGUGGCUACGCAGUUGGGUUUAAAAGAUCAUGGAAAGUCUCUCUGGUGGUAUUCUCAGUCACUCCAUUGACUAUGUUCUGUGGAAUGGCUUACAAAGCACUUUAUGGUGGCCUAACAGCAAAAGAGGAAGCUUCUUAUAGGAAAGCUGGUAGCAUUGCGGAACAGGGCAUCGGUUCAAUUAGGACAGUGUUUUCAUUUGUUGCAGAAAGGCAAUUGACUGGAAAAUAUGCUGAGCUACUGCAAAAAUCAGCUCCAAUAGGGGACAGAGUUGGUUUUGCUAAAGGUAUUGGCAUGGGUGUGAUCUACUUAAUAAUGUAUUCAACAUGGGCAUUGGCUUUCUGGUAUGGCUCUAUAUUAAUUGCCAGCAAUGAACUUGAUGGAGGUUCUGCUAUUGCUUGUUUCUUUGGUGUCAAUGUAGGGGGAAGGGACUGUUGCAGCUAGCCGUGUAUUCUAUAUCAUAGAGAGAAUCCCUGAGAUUGAUUCCUAUAGCCCUGAGGGAAGGAAGCUUUCUGGUGUUCGUGGAAGGAUUGAGUUAAAAAGUUGGUUGGUGCCAGUGGUGGGGGAAAGUCCACUAUCUUUGCUCUCAUAGAGAGGCUUUAUGACCCUAUUGAAGGGAUUAUUACCUUGGAUGGUCAUGAUUUGAGGACAUUGCAAGUAAAGUGGCUAAGUGCUCUUUGCCACAUCUAUUCUGGACUGCGAGUGGACAACUACUCUUAUGCCAAAGCUAGUAACAUGCUUCUGGUGCAGUCUCAAACAUAAGGACGGUUACCACAUUUUCUGCUCAGGAGCAGAUAGUUAAGUCCUUUGAAAGAACCCUGUCAGAACCUAGGAGAAAAUCAUUAAGUUCACAACUUCAAGGUCUUAUGUUUGGGUUGUUUCAAGGUUCCAUGUAUGGAGCAUACACAUUAACUCUUUCGUUUGGUGCAUACCUUGUAGAACACGGCAAGGCAAAACUUGGAGAAGUGUUUAAGAUCUUUCUAAAUUUUCUGUGGAACAACUUGCUGGCUUGGCACCAGAUACUUCUAUGGCGGCUACAGCAAUUCCUGCAGUUCAAGAUAUCAUAAAACGUAGGCCACUGAUUGGCAAUGAUAGAACAGAAGGUAGGAUAGUAGACAGAUCGAAACCGUUCAACAUAGAAUUCAAGAUGGUGACAUUUGCAUACCCAUCUAGGCCAGAAGUGACUGUGUUGAGGAUUUCUGUUUAAAGGUCAAAGGUGGAAGCACAGUGGCCUUGGUGGGACCAAGUGGAUCAGGGAAGUCAACAGUCAUAUGGUUGACCCAGAGGUUCUAUGAUCCUGAUCAUGGAAAGGUGAUGAUGAGUGGUAUAGAUUUGAGGGAGAUUGAUGUGAAGUGGUUGAGGAGGCAAAUAGCUUUGGUGGGUCAAGAACCUGCAUUGUUUGCUGGGAGCAUAAGGGAAAAUAUAGCAUUUGGGGACCCAAAUGCUUCAUGGACUGAAAUUGAAGAGGCUGCAAAGGAGGCUUACAUCCACAAGUUCAUCAGUGGCCUUCCUCAAGGAUAUGAAACUCAGUAGGUUGGUGAAAGCGGGGUCCAGUUAUCAGGUGGCCAGAAACAAAGAAUUGCUAUAGCCAGGGCCAUAUUGAAGAAAUCAAGGGUGCUUUUGCUUGAUGAAGCAAGCAGUGCCUUGGACUUAGAAUCAGAGUAGCACAUCCAAGAAGCCCUUCAGAAGGUUACCAAAGAGGCAACAACCAUAAUAGUUGCUCACCGUCUUUCCACAAUCAGAGAAGCUGAUAAGAUCGCAGUUAUGAGAGAUGGGGAAGUGGUGGAGUAUGGGAGCCAUGACAAGCUCAUGGCUUCAGGUCAAAAUGGCUUGUAUGCUAGCCUAGUUCGAGCUGAGACUGAAGCCAAUGCCUUUUCUUGAUCCUAAUAAUAUGAGCCUGUAACAUUAUUGUCAAUAUAUAUAGCAAGUCUGACACAACACAAUGGCCCAAUGGCCAAAAUCAAUCGGAUAAAAGUAGAAAAGAAAGAACCACUUUAAUUGGUUUGGGCUGUUUUGAAGAGUGGAUCGUACAACAAUUUAUUCUAUGGAUCAGCUUUCUUCUUUUUCAAAUAAACAAAAAAAAAAAUGUACCAUGUGCCACUUGAUUAUGUAAAUUUCAAAAGAAAAUACCUAAAAGUCUUUAUUUA